CGAAUACGCGGGUUUACUAUCACUAGUAUGGGUUCAUUGCCAUAUUUUCUCAUUAUUACCUAUGGUAAAAUUGUCCUGAGUUUGAUGUCCAAGCGCAAUGUUCCGGAAUUUUCGAUUGAUAGUCCGUAGUCCGUCCACUGUCCCUUCGUCCCUUACCGGAACCAAGCCUCGGAUAGGUACACUAUUGCUUUACAUCGAAGCAGCGAUCAUCACUCCUUUCAACCUUUGCCGUGCUUUAAUUUGCAAGAGCCACAUCCCUUUUUGCAUACCGUUCAAAUAAUUCGUAUAUUUUAAUGCGAUAAGUUUUGUGGUGUGUGUACAUCGGUGUAUGUAAGUGUAGGUGGGUGAUUUCACGAUAAAAGGAAUAAUAGUCGUAUGGAGCGAUAUAAAUGCCUGUUCCUCAAGUAGAUAACUAUUCGCGCUCCGACGUAUGGUUCGUUACCUACCCGGCAAAAUUGAAGGCGAACUGAAGUUUUUGUCACAGUUCGAUCUAGCGCUCUACAGGGCCAAUUUCCAUGAUGUUUAUCGGGUAUCGACAGGCAAUAGCCCCUGGAUGAGCUGGAUCUAUUCAUACAAAUAUUUUGGAGACUUAAUUCACAGGGACCCGUGGAGCGAAACACUUUCUCGAGGCUGGGCCGCGUGGUUGCCACCAAUACCUACCUAGUUGCGAACAGUGCAGUACCCAGUGCUGAAGACAUGACUGAUGUUAUACUUUCAGAUGACAAGUCCUUCAUUUGUUAGCCUGCGUCAUAAUCUACCGUUCAGAUAUAUAAUCUUGCAUGUGAUCUGGCAGCAGAGACAUGCACGUAACAGGGAUGUGGAGACCUUACCGUCCGGAAAAUCCUUGGUGCUCCUCCUCCCACGGGAGUUUUCGAGUCUCGGCGAGGGCUUUUGGAACACCGAAAAUAGCACUCGCCAACCUUCUCUCCGCUUCGUUCGGCUUAUUAUUUUUCCUUUUUUUCUGCGUGAAGAGAGCCUUUCCCCCUUUUCCUCGCCUUUUCAGACAUUGCGCAUGAUUGCUAUAUUGAUGUCGUUCCUGCAAUGUGCCACUUUUUACGAAGAUGACCCAAGUCCAGCAUUGAAAAAUGCGAAUCUACAUAAAGUAUAACGUUUACAAAUCUUC
Non-coding RNA from Bemisia tabaci, 1123 nucleotides. The record is from RefSeq and is a predicted model, not a curated record. NCBI's taxonomy places the organism in Eukaryota, Metazoa, Arthropoda, Insecta, Hemiptera, Aleyrodidae.